Molecule: long non-coding RNA, 570 nt
Filed under: Pongo abelii (Sumatran orangutan)
Lineage: Eukaryota; Metazoa; Chordata; Mammalia; Primates; Hominidae
Description: lincRNA
Source: RNAcentral
GUGCCCGCCCGAGAAGGCGGUGCUGGGAGCCGCUCAGAGCUCAGAGAAGCGGCGCGCGGCCAGGAGCCCCCGCUCCGCCACUGCCGUGCCUGCCUCCCGCAGCUGUCUGCCAUGCGCUCGCCGGGGCAGGGGCGCCCGGAGAGCGGCGAGAGCUGGGCCUGAGCCCGGGAACGCGCCUGAUCGGGGUGGCGGAGCCGCGGUCCCCACAGCCGCCCCACCCGCGCCGCUGCCUCGUUGGGGCCCGGGCCCCCUUCCCGGUCCUUACUCCCCUGCUGGUGCCUCCCUCCCUGGCGCGGUUCCCACCUGCGAUCGGCGCCCUCUUCGCAGUCACGAACUCGCCAGCAGCUAGCAGCACUGACUAGUAGGAGGGCCCGCCGGAGGAGAGCCGCGCGGCCCACAGAAGCGGAACGCGCGUCGAGAGCGCCCUGUCCGCUCGCCCCAGACAGAUGCCCGGUUAUUCAUUACCCCGAGGCCUAGAGGAAAGAAUGGCUGCCGUCCUCCUGUCCACAGCCCGCCGGACCCUCCGUCGCGGCUGCCGGCUCCCCGGAGCCGCAGCCACCGAGCCUGGCU